UCGUUAAUAAAAAACACGAUCAUGCAGUCUUGAUUUUACAUAUAGUAGACAUAAAAUCUGAAAGAUAAAACUUCCAAUUUGUGUAAUGAUUAAGCCGAAGUGAUGAUUAGGGGAGAUUAGGGCUGUGCAUUAUGUAUAUAAUAAAUGCAUGUAUGGUACUAAGAGUCCUUAAAAUGACACUUGUAGCCUCCGAUGAGGCCCUUCCUGAUUUUUGUUCGAUGUGAUUUUUCCACCGUUGUGAUCACCGUUUCCUUCUCUACAAGUUGACCGAAGCAAAACACCCAACCGCAGCGUGAGCCGGAGGAACCGCCGCACCGGAGAGCCCCGCCGCCGGUGAGUUUUGAUUUUUUACAUUUUUUCGACCAACCAAGGGCCCUAAGUGUGUUUUCUCAUAGGAACUGAUGUAAAUUUGGCUGAAUUCAGCCUAAAACAGCCAAAACUAGCCAACUCGAGAUGGAUUGCCGCCGUCGUCGUCGGAGCACGGUGUAGCCGUCGUGCCAGAUUUUUAAAAUUGGCCGAGUAGGCCCUGGGAUUGAUUUUUGGGUUAUUUGUGACAUUUGUAGGUACCGUAAGCGC
This 576-nucleotide long non-coding RNA is filed under the name Carica papaya (papaya). RNAcentral describes it as "long non-coding RNA (CPAP_LNC015275)". Lineage: Eukaryota; Viridiplantae; Streptophyta; Magnoliopsida; Brassicales; Caricaceae. The record is from RNAcentral.